Molecule: transfer RNA, 74 nt
Filed under: Candidatus Omnitrophota bacterium
Lineage: Bacteria; Pseudomonadati; Candidatus Omnitrophota
Description: tRNA-Gln
Rfam family: tRNA
About the family: Transfer RNA (tRNA) molecules are approximately 80 nucleotides in length. Their secondary structure includes four short double-helical elements and three loops (D, anti-codon, and T loops).
Source: RNAcentral
UGCCCGGUGGUGUAACGGUAGCACAGCAGAUUCUGGAUCUGCUUGUUUAGGUUCGAAUCCUAACUGGGCAACCA